This 452-nucleotide long non-coding RNA is filed under the name Homo sapiens (human). Its description in RNAcentral is "HSALNT0255774". The record is from RNAcentral. Lineage: Eukaryota; Metazoa; Chordata; Mammalia; Primates; Hominidae.
GCGGGACCCAGGGAAGGCAGCGGCCGGAGCGCGCAAGAAUUAGCUAGGCGUGGUGGCAGGUGCCUGUAAUCCCAGCUACUCAGGAGGCUGAGGCAGGAGAAUCGCUUGAACCUGGGAGGCAGAGGUUGCCGUGAGCUGAGAUCGCGCCAUUGCACUCCAGCCUGGGCGACAAGAGCAAAACUCCGUCUCAGAAAAAAAAAAAAAAAAGAGUUGAUGUGUUGAAAGACAGAGAAGCGAAGACAGAGACGUGGAAAGACAGGGAGAGAGACACGGAGAGAGACGCAGAAGGACAGAGACGUGGAGAGAGACGCAGAGAGACAGAGACGUGGAGAGACACAGAGAGACGUGGAGAGACACAGAGAGACUUGGAGAGAGACAAAGCAAGACAGGACGGGAGAACAAGGACAAGCUCAGGUAAGCCUCAGCCGGUGCUGCAGGCAGUCUGACUCGCA